GUCGCUGGCCCACACUCCAGUAUAAUAGGUGGCGGUAAUGCACCAUAACGUUGAAGGCCAACUGCCGAUGAACCCCACAGAAGAAGACGUAUUUUCUUUCAGUUGGACAAGAAAACAUCGCACAGACACAUACGGUGUAGUAGAUUAAAGUAUAUAUUUGCACAUUUCAAUACAUGUAUCAGCUUCAUGAGCGACAAUAACAUUCUACGCGUGAAAUGGAGUCUGCUUACAAUCGGUUCGAUUCAUAUGACUUCGAGGUGGAUUUGAAUUUCCAGAGUGGUUUGAAAAAUCUUCAGGCUUCCAGCGAGGAAACUGUUUUGGGGAUUAAAUUAUUAUUUUACAAUCGAUUUGUCGAGCCCAUUGACUUGGAUGGGUACAAACAAUGGCGUGUAAGUUCUACUGCCCUGUCCUCGACAUCCUCCAUGGGUGACAACAUUGAACAGUUGGAGAAGUUCGACCACUUGACUAUUGCAGAUUCAAAUUCUGAUAUUUGUGAAAGUACCACUGGUGGGACCUCAGCGAAGACAGAUGCAGCCCUUUCAUUCGAGGAAGUGUUCCGGCUAGUCCAAGCAGGAGAGGAGGUCCCAGGCCUGUCAAAGCUGGACAUAAAACCUAAUAACCAAACUCCAACUCCCUCACAGAUGGAGAGGAGGCCAAAACCCUGGGAGAACUCUUAAGACACACAUGUGACUUGUACACAUGACUUUUUCCCCUACUGUCCACCUUUGAAGAAAAGUUCAUUUUUACCAAGCUGUUAAUAUCCUCUAAACUUGCAAUAAAAAUAUUUGCUUUUUUGCUUUUCACCAUUUGAUCAAAUAAGAUAAAAAUCGUCAUUGCAUUGCAUUGUUCCUGUAUAACUUUCUCAAUCUGAUCUGUCUAAAACAACUACAACAAACAUGUUAAAUAGUU
Long non-coding RNA from Oncorhynchus kisutch (coho salmon), 909 nucleotides. RefSeq lists it as uncharacterized. The transcript is spliced from 2 exons. NCBI's taxonomy places the organism in Eukaryota, Metazoa, Chordata, Actinopteri, Salmoniformes, Salmonidae. The record is from RefSeq and is a predicted model, not a curated record.